UCCUGGUCAAUUAGAGGAAGUAAAAGUCGUAACAAGGUUUCCGUAGGUGAACCUGCGGAAGGAUCAUUAUCGUACAUCGGGGGUGCGAGGGCCGUCGCUGACCCUUCAAAAAGGUCGUGCACGGCCGAGGGCUUUCAAACAUCCAUCUCACCCCUUUGUGCAUCACCGCGUGGGUCCCCUUCGCGGGGGGCUUGCGUUUUCACAUAAAACUUCAUACUGUGUAGAAUGUUUUCUUUUGCGCUCACACGCAAUCAAUACAACUUUCAACAACGGAUCUCUUGGCUUUCGCAUCGAUGAAGAACGCAGCGAAAUGCGAUACGUAAUGUGAAUUGCAGAAUUCAGUGAAUCAUCGAAUCUUUGAACGCACCUUGCGCCCCUUGGCAUUCCGAAGGGCCCACCCGGUUGAGGGUUCUGAAAUCCUCAAAAUCAUUUUUUCUUUUUCGAAAAAGGAUUUUGGACUUGGAGGUUCAAUGCUCGCUUUCGAAAGUGAGCUCCUCUCAAAUGAAUCAGUGGGGUCCGCUUUGCUGAUCCUUGACGUGAUAAGAUGUUUCUACGUUUUGGAUUUGGCACUGUCCCUUGCUUCUAACAGUCCCUUGGACGACGAUGGUGCUCCGGUCGCCGCCACGUAUGCUGGCGGGAGGCUGGACCCACAAAAACCUUGACCUC
RNAcentral lists this ribosomal RNA (666 nucleotides) under uncultured Russula. Its description in RNAcentral is "eukaryotic LSU rRNA". The stretch from base 259 to 412 matches the Rfam family "5.8S ribosomal RNA". The record is from RNAcentral. Lineage: Eukaryota; Fungi; Basidiomycota; Agaricomycetes; Russulales; Russulaceae.